RNAcentral lists this ribosomal RNA (794 nucleotides) under uncultured bacterium. RNAcentral describes it as "bacterial SSU rRNA". It matches the Rfam family "Bacterial small subunit ribosomal RNA", at positions 8 to 797 of the family's 1533-position model. The record is from RNAcentral.
AGAGUUUGAUCCUGGCUCAGGAUGAACGCUAGCGGCAGGCCUAAUACAUGCAAGUCGAGCGGUAACAUGAGUAGCAAUACUUGAUGACGAGUGGCGCACGGGUGCGUAACGCGUAUGCAACCUACCUUUAACUGGAAGAUAGCUCCGAGAAAUCGGGAUUAAUACUCCAUAGUAUUAUUAAACGGCAUCGUUUGAUAAUUAAAGCUCCGGCGGUUAAAGAUGGGCAUGCGUGACAUUAGCUUGUUGGUGAGGUAACGGCUCACCAAGGCAACGAUGUCUAGGGGAUCUGAGAGGAUUAACCCCCACACUGGUACUGAGACACGGACCAGACUCCUACGGGAGGCAGCAGUAAGGAAUAUUGGACAAUGGAGGCAACUCUGAUCCAGCCAUGCCGCGUGAAGGAUGAAGGCCCUAUGGGUUGUAAACUUCUUUUGAACGGGAGAAAACCCCUCUACGUGUAGAGGGCUGAUAGUACCGUUAGAAUAAGGAUCGGCUAACUCCGUGCCAGCAGCCGCGGUAAUACGGAGGAUCCAAGCGUUAUCCGGAUUUAUUGGGUUUAAAGGGUGCGUAGGCGGAAUAGUAAGUCAGUGGUGAAAUCCUGCAGCUUAACUGCGGAACUGCCAUUGAUACUGCUGUUCUUGAGUACAUUUGAUGUGGGCGGAAUGUGUCGUGUAGCGGUGAAAUGCUUAGAUAUGACACAGAACACCGAUUGCGAAGGCAGCUCACAAAACUGUAACUGACGCUGAGGCACGAAAGCGUGGGGAUCAAACAGGAUUAGAUACCCUGGUAGUCCA